CACGUAGGGACCAAGCGUUGUCCGGAUUCAUUGGGCGUAAAGAGCUCGUAGGCGGCUCAGUAAGUCGGGUGUGAAACCUCCAGGCUCAACCUGGAGACGCCACCCGAUACUGCUGUGGCUAGAGUCCAGUAGGGGAGCGUGGAAUUCCUGGUGUAGCGGUGAAAUGCGUAGAUAUCUGGAGGAACACCGGUGGCGAAGGCGGCAUCCUGGACCGGCAUUGACGCUGAGGCGCGAAAGCCAGGGGAGCAAACGGG
This 254-nucleotide ribosomal RNA is filed under the name uncultured bacterium. RNAcentral describes it as "partial 16S ribosomal RNA". It matches the Rfam family "Bacterial small subunit ribosomal RNA", at positions 524 to 776 of the family's 1533-position model. The record is from RNAcentral.